GUGCCUGUAGCUCAAUUGGUUAGAGCGCUAGUUUGUGGUACUAGAGGUCGUGGGUUCGAUUCCCAUCAGGCACC
RNAcentral lists this transfer RNA (74 nucleotides) under Aureispira sp. Its description in RNAcentral is "tRNA-His". It matches the Rfam family "tRNA". From Rfam's summary of the family: Transfer RNA (tRNA) molecules are approximately 80 nucleotides in length. Their secondary structure includes four short double-helical elements and three loops (D, anti-codon, and T loops). Further hydrogen bonds mediate the characteristic L-shaped molecular structure. tRNAs have two regions of fundamental functional importance: the anti-codon, which is responsible for specific mRNA codon recognition, and the 3' end, to which the tRNAs corresponding amino acid is attached (by aminoacyl-tRNA synthetases). tRNAs cope with the degeneracy of the genetic code in two manners: having more than one tRNA (with a specific anti-codon) for a particular amino acid; and 'wobble' base-pairing, i.e. permitting non-standard base-pairing at the 3rd anti-codon position. The record is from RNAcentral. Lineage: Bacteria; Pseudomonadati; Bacteroidota; Saprospiria; Saprospirales; Saprospiraceae. RNAcentral also lists the same sequence under 1 other name.